RNAcentral lists this transfer RNA (66 nucleotides) under Dierogekko inexpectatus. RNAcentral describes it as "tRNA-Cys". The record is from RNAcentral. Lineage: Eukaryota; Metazoa; Chordata; Lepidosauria; Squamata; Diplodactylidae.
AGCUUCGUNNNGAACAACACGUCAAAUUGCAAAUUUGAAAACGCCCCUUUACUGGUGCCGGGGCUU